Long non-coding RNA from Taeniopygia guttata (zebra finch), 4708 nucleotides. Lineage: Eukaryota; Metazoa; Chordata; Aves; Passeriformes; Estrildidae. The record is from Ensembl.
AAUGACCACAGUGUACUUUAUUUAAUGAUUUUGGUACCUUGUGUUGCAAUAAAAUAAAAAAAAAAUCUACAAAAUCCAAAUAUAUAAAAUUUUCAAGUUUCCCUUUUAAGUUUUACAAGAAAAAUCAAGUUGUAACCAAGGAAAUUUGUUAGUAUGAAGCACUACUUUCAACUUCAUUUCAUCACAAAUUGCAACUUACUUAACAGACCAAAAUAACUAUGGUACUGCAGCACAUCAAUUACUUCACACACUGUGUUCUUUACUAUAGCACAUGUAACCUCCACCACAGGAGGCAGCGGUCUCUAGCCAAUAAAGACACUCUUCACAAUCUGAGCUCUAAAGGAAUGUUUGUAUACAUGGAUUCAGAAUAUAUAUAUUUACAGGAAGAUUUCUUUUUAUUUUUCUUUUUUUUUUAAUAACUAUCUUGAUUCUUCAUUUCAAAUAAAAUACCAAAUACAUUUUUACAAUGUUUACAAGUCAAAGCACAAAGUUCUGCAAUGAUUAUCAUUCACCUAUAGUCACUGUGCUUGUACUGGGGUGGGGGAGAGGGGGCAUCUACACUGUUCCAUAAACACAAAUGUGAUCUUCCAUCACUUUAUUUCCGCAGUGGUGACUAAGAAGUAUAAGCACAGUAACAAUUCUUUUAGCACAAUCAGUGUAUAAUGCAACAGUUUACAACAGACAACUGAGAAACUAUUGGUCCACUCUGUUCAAUUUGCUGUUUAUCUGCCAACUGUUAUGUUAGUCUUUGUCACAUAAAUUGUGUACAAGAGAAGAAUUAAAGAACACAACUUGAAUAGGAAAGAGCAUACAUUUUUAAGGCAAAUUAAUAAGCAGCUUAUGAUGGUUUUUUGUUAAACUAUACCCCAACACAACCUAAAAAUAAAAUGUAUGUUCUGCAACUGUCAAUAAUUAUGACUUCUUAAACUGAUCUCCUCUAUAAAUUGAUCAACAUGGCUUUGAACCUGGUUAUUCAAAAUGGAACUAAUUCCUCCCCCCAAAUCCCCAAAUAUAGAAAGUGCAUGACUUCAUAUGCGCCAAAACAAAACAAAAGGCAGCUGAGGUAGUUAGAUGUAAAAGGUAUUUAUGAAAAAUAACUGGAAAACUAAAACAAGGACAUAUACAGUAAAAACCCACUCACUUGGAAUUAAUUUUAUAUCAGACAACAACUUAAAGCAGGAAAAUUUAUGACUUCUGAAAAAAAAGUAGUAAUAACAUACGAAUGAAAACAGAAUAUACUAUUGGAGUUUUAAUUUCAAGUAUUUGAGAGUAUUUGCAUGUGCAUUUUUUUACAGGCUUUGUUUAGUAUUAGGAAGUCAUUUACUUUUUAUCAGGCAUCAUAUGAGAUCUGGUUGAUCUCUGGGAAUGAAGCUCCUGGAAGGUAGAAAUAUACUGUGAGUGCCUGAAGGUAUGUCAGCCACCGCGUGUGCCUGGAAGCAUCACCAUCUCACCUCGGGUGAACUUCUACACACCCAUUCUCUACUGAGCUCACCUGAGAGUGACAGGGCCAGGGGUCCUGUGCCUGUGCCUCCUGGGGACUGAUUGGACAGAUGUCCUGGGAGCCUGCCUGGGAUGUACACACCUGCCUGGAUCCAUGUGGGAUGUGCCGAUGUGGUGGGGAUCCCACACGAGACGUUCCUGCAGAGCUGGUGUGUAACCCGGGCAGUGCCCCUGUGCACCAAAGAGAGGAUCAGCUUCCACUUUGGAGCUCCUCACUGGCCUCUCCCUGUGCCCAGCACCAUUCCAUUCCAGCUCUCACGGGCACCUCUACUUAUCUGGAGAGGGGGCAGUGUUACAACUCCAGGAGACGGGACAGUCUCCAAGAAAGGGUUUGCUUCAGUCCACUGAGGAUGAAUUGGGAUUUUGGCUCACAUCAUGGUCCCAGGGCUCCACCAACAGCCCCUGGCACAGAGGCAGAUCCAGCUUUCCCUUCCAUUCCUGUCUAGAAAGAUAAGCAUACAGAUUUAUUUAACAAAAUGCCCGAAUGGAGUGCACAGGUGCAUGGAAAGUCUUCAAGCUCUGGGAAUAAAAUUCACAAAAAAUCCCGCCUACUUGUAGGAGACAGGUCAGUUUGGAGAUGUGUUCCUGUGCUCAGUAACAACAACUUAAAACUGAAAUCACAUUAAAACAUGCGAUGUGCCAGCUCUUCUGAGCCCUACUGUUAGACCCCUGUGCUCAUGGCCACAACAUGGGUGUGUGCAAUUUACUAUCAUGAAUUCUGCACCUGGCUUGAGGACCAACACAGCAGUGAGCAGCACAAACUGAAAUAGUUCUGAUGUGAGUGGUUUUCCUUUAUUUUUUAAUUGGCCUGUGAAAAAGUAGGAUGUGUCCUUCUGAACUGUGAGCAUAUGCCAUUUCUUAUUCUUAUUUUCUAUUAAAUGAGAAAAUCCUGAAGCCCUUUAUUUCCCCACACUUUUUCCCCUUUAAUUUUAUCCUUCUAAGCUCACUGUUUUGGAAAUAUAACUUUCAAAAGUGAUGUGUGAUUUUGGCUAACUGAAUCUCUGGCAACCCAAAAUGAGGAGUUGCUAAUGUUCACGGAGUGCUGAAUUUAUGUACUAUGGUGGCAGACAUGGUAAAGGCUAAUUAGUUUUGGACAUCCUGCACAUCAUGGCCUUUUAAUUUUUUUCUGUUAGAACUAGAUGGAAAAUUAAAAGACUGGACUGUGAGAUUUCUUGAAGUGGCAUGAUAUUACAGCUUUCAUCAAAUUUUUUUGUCAGAAAUUGCUGCUCUGUUGCUCAGAUUUUGUAAUCAUGAGAGGGAGUUUCUCAGAGAAGUCAAGUUUUUAUAUUUUUAGGUAAACCUAAGCAGAAAAAGAUGCUCUGAUUUUAAAGAGGGGAGAAAUAUUUUUUUGGGUCUGAUUUCAUAAAACACAAAGAUGCUAAAAGGCACACUUCUGCAAUGGAUGCAAAAAUCAUUUUUCAGCAUGUGAAACAACAGAAAAGACAAUCCUCUACAGCGCAGGGAAUCCAGCUUGAUGUUUCAGUGUGUUAGUAUUGUGAGUACUUGACAUAUGACGACAUUCUCUUCACUGUGUCAUAACUAUCAUUUGCCACAUUUCCUUUCAAAAUACAAAUAUUUCCUCAUAUCAGUACUCACAACCAACACUUGCCCCAAGAAGAAGCAGUCCUCCCUUCCCAUCAGCAAUUCAGUUGUGUCACUGGUAGCCAUUGCAGAAACUGGAAGAGGCUUACCUGCCCUGCCUCAUCCCUAUUCUUGCGCCAUUGAGCUGCCUCUGUCCAACUGUUGUAUGACCCAGCAGUAAAGAAUGUGAUGAAAUUUGUCAGGAUACAAAUGCUAGGUCCCUUUUCAGGGAUUUUAGUCAUGAAGAAUGACAGGCAAGUAUAAUGGAGGGCUAGAUAAAAGGCUGGGUAGAAAAACAGGACUCUUGCCUCAGCUUAGGAAAAAAUUUCACUUCCCAAGUUUUUCCCUGGAAUCCAGUGACUUGGGCUUUCUACAAAAAGAGAUAUAUUUGUCUUGAAACUGAAAUUGAAAUAUAUAGCUCAAGUGACAGUUUUUAUUUAAUCAAAAAUAUUAAAAUAUAAUUAAUAUAUUCACAAGCUUUCUGAAAAUUUAAAUAGAUAUUUUCAUUUAGCCUGGAAUCCAGUGAGGUAUCUUGGCCUCAUCCAGUGACUAACAGAAUUGGAAGACCUAGAAAUGCUUUAGUAUUAUUUCCAGUAGACUUUUUUUUAAUAUAAAGCCUGAUAUUUCUUCCUAAGACAUUUUCAAAAACUUAGCCAGAGCAGUAUUGGGUGCAGAAAGACUGAAAACUUCACUUGACAGUAAUGUUCUAGUGCACUGUAAACUAGCUACUGAAGAGAUUCCUUAAAAAAUAAAUUUUACUUAGACUGGUGCUGCAAAAUUUAAAAGCAAAAUGCCCAUGUGCUUUCUCGUGGGGCUUAUUGGACUCCACUAAAGUCAAAAGAAAGUAAUUCAUUUUCUGUGGUGGAUCAUCAGGGAAGCCCUUUAUGUUUAUAAGCUCCCUGUAAUCAAAGCAAAUCCCGGUAUAAUAAAUGUUCUGGAUAGAGCAUUGAUGUAAGUGUGACUUACUGAUAUGUGCACCAGGCAAAGUUUCUCCAUUUGUCUUCUAAGAAUAUCUUUUUGUUGGCUUUGUUUUGUUUAUUGAAGAUGAUUUUGUCAGCACAACUGUUGUCAAGUCUGUCUUUUACAAUCAUUUACCUCAUCUGAAAUUGCUUUGGAAGGCUCUUUUGUUUUACUAAUAGCCUAGAAACACUUCAGCACAUUUCCCCAAACCAAAUCAAAUCCAGCAGUCAACCUGAAAACAGACUUGGAGUUCUGCAUAUUAAGAAAUGGAAGGUGGAAGAACACACAAAUUAGUUAGGCUUAUAUUAAUAUAAAUUUUGCUGUAACGAAUGGAGAAUAUGCUCUUUAAAUUAAUAUAUGUUGUAGGAAACCAUUUGCAAUAUUCAAUGUGAAUUAAAUGACUUGCUCCUUGCACAUUGCAAAUAUCAAGAGAACAAUGAAUGCUGAGGAGGAACAAUUAAAAGUUGGGGAAUCCUUUCCUUUCCUUUCCUUUCCUUUCCUUUCCUUUCCUUUCCUUUCCUUUCCUUUCCUUUCCUUUCCUUUCCUUUCCUUUCCUUUCCUUUCCUUUCCUUCCUUUCCUUUCCUUUCCUUUCCUUUCCUUUCCUUUCCUUUCCUUUCCUUUCCUUUCCUUUCCUUUCCUUUCCUUUCCUUUCCUUUCCUUUCCUUU